Molecule: unclassified non-coding RNA, 315 nt
Filed under: plant metagenome
Description: partial contains 5.8S ribosomal RNA, internal transcribed spacer 2, and large subunit ribosomal RNA
Rfam family: 5.8S ribosomal RNA (bases 1-105)
Source: RNAcentral
GAACUGCGAUAAGUAAUGUGAAUUGCAGAAUUCAGUGAAUCAUCGAGUCUUUGAACGCACAUUGCGCCCCCUGGCAUUCCGGGGGGCAUGCCUGUCCGAGCGUCAUUGCUGCCCUUCAAGCCCGGCUUGUGUGUUGGGUCGUCGUCCCCUCCGGGGGACGGGCCCGAAAGGCAGCGGCGGCACCGCGUCCGGUCCUCGAGCGUAUGGGGCUUUGUCACCCGCUCGAUAAGGACCGGCCGGGCGCCAGCCGGCGUCUCCAACCUUUUUUUCUCAGGUCGACCUCGGAUCAGGUAGGGAUACCCGCUGAACUUAAGC